UGCCGAAGUGGCGGAACUGGCAGACGCGCCAGAUUCAGGAUCUGGUGGUGUUAACGCCGUGCGGGUUCAAAUCCCGCCUUCGGCAUUUU
This 89-nucleotide transfer RNA is filed under the name Thermodesulfovibrio yellowstonii DSM 11347. RNAcentral's name for it is "tRNA-Leu". It matches the Rfam family "tRNA". From Rfam's summary of the family: Transfer RNA (tRNA) molecules are approximately 80 nucleotides in length. The record is from RNAcentral. Lineage: Bacteria; Pseudomonadati; Nitrospirota; Thermodesulfovibrionia; Thermodesulfovibrionales; Thermodesulfovibrionaceae.